Molecule: ribosomal RNA, 254 nt
Filed under: uncultured bacterium
Lineage: Bacteria
Description: partial 16S ribosomal RNA
Rfam family: Bacterial small subunit ribosomal RNA
Source: RNAcentral
UACGUAGGGGGCGAGCGUUGUCCGGAUUUAUUGGGCGUAAAGAGCUCGUAGGUGGUUUGGUAAGUCGGAUGUGAAAUCUCCAGGCUCAACCUGGAGGGGUCAUUCGAUACUGCCAUGACUAGAGUUCGGUAGGGGAGUGUGGAAUUCCUGGUGGAGCGGUGAAAUGCGCAGAUAUCAGGAGGAACACCGGUGGCGAAGGCGGGACUCUGGGCCGAUACUGACGCUGAGGAGCGAAAGCGUGGGGAGCAAACAGG